Molecule: ribosomal RNA, 249 nt
Filed under: uncultured bacterium
Lineage: Bacteria
Description: partial 16S ribosomal RNA
Rfam family: Bacterial small subunit ribosomal RNA
Source: RNAcentral
GCAAGUCGUGCGAUCCUUCGGGAUAGCGGCAAAAGGGUGAGUAACGCGUGGAAAAUCUACCCUUAAGUAAGGGAUAACACCGAGAAAUUGAUGCUAAUACCUUAUAUGACCACGAUUACAUAAGUAUUCGAGGUGAAAGGUGGGGACCUUCGGGCCUACCACUUAGGGAGGAUUCCGCGUCCUAUUAGCUAGUUGGUGAGGUAACUGCUCACCAAGGCGAAGAUGGGUAGCUGGUCUGAGAGGAUGGUC